GGGGACGUGGCGGAAUCGGUAGACGCGCCGGACUUAAAAUCCGUUGGAGCAAUCCGUGUGGGUUCGAGUCCCACCGUCCCUA
The sequence is a transfer RNA, 82 nucleotides long. It matches the Rfam family "tRNA". From Rfam's summary of the family: Transfer RNA (tRNA) molecules are approximately 80 nucleotides in length. Their secondary structure includes four short double-helical elements and three loops (D, anti-codon, and T loops). The record is from Rfam.